UGGCUCUAAGGACUGGGCCGGUCGGGCUGUAAUGUGAAGUGAGUAUGGUUUGAUCCAUGCAGUGUAACAUUAAUGAAGAAUAUAUAAAUAUAUUAUUCAUUGAUGAAACUCGGCUAGUGUUCGAACUAUCUUAUGGACCGUUAUAGCUGCAUAUCACAUUUAUUUUUUGUUUUAACAUAAAAUAAAUGUUUAUUGAUAUUUCGGCCGGCGUUAAACAGUUAACUUAGAACUGGCACGGACUCGGGGAAUCCGACUGUCUAAUUAAAACAGAGGAGACAGAUGGCCCCUAGCGGGCGUUGACUGUCUCUGAUUUCUGCCCAGUGCUCUGAAUGUAAAAGUGAAGAAAUUCAACCAAGCGCGGGUAAACGGCGGGAGUAACUAUGACUCUCUUAAGGUAGCCAAAUGCCUCGUCAUCUAAU
RNAcentral lists this ribosomal RNA (419 nucleotides) under Mansonella sp. OM-2015. RNAcentral describes it as "partial large subunit ribosomal RNA". It matches the Rfam family "Eukaryotic large subunit ribosomal RNA", at positions 1949 to 2303 of the family's 3401-position model. The record is from RNAcentral. Lineage: Eukaryota; Metazoa; Nematoda; Chromadorea; Rhabditida; Onchocercidae.